RNAcentral lists this ribosomal RNA (329 nucleotides) under uncultured bacterium. RNAcentral describes it as "bacterial SSU rRNA". It matches the Rfam family "Bacterial small subunit ribosomal RNA", at positions 28 to 349 of the family's 1533-position model. The record is from RNAcentral.
GAUGAACGCUAGCGGCAGGCUUAAUACAUGCAAGUCGUGGGGCAGCAUGAGUAGCAAUACUUGAUGGCGACCGGCAAACGGGUGAGGAACACGUACACAACCUUCCUUCAAGCGGGGAAUAGCCCAGAGAAAUUUGGAUUAAUACCCCAUAAUAUAUUUGAUAAGGCAUCUUAUUAAUAUUAAAGCUUCGGCACUUGAUGAUGGGUGUGCGGCUGAUUAGAUAGUUGGCCGGGGUAAACGGGCCCACCAAAGUCUACGAUCAGUAGCUGAUGUGAGAGCAUGAUCAGCCACACGGGCACUGAGACACGGGCCCGACUCCUACGGGAGGC